This 327-nucleotide ribosomal RNA is filed under the name uncultured Pseudomonadota bacterium. Its description in RNAcentral is "bacterial SSU rRNA". It matches the Rfam family "Bacterial small subunit ribosomal RNA", at positions 29 to 351 of the family's 1533-position model. Lineage: Bacteria; Pseudomonadati; Pseudomonadota. The record is from RNAcentral.
AGCGAACGUUAGCGGCAGGCUUAACACAUGCAAGUCGAACGAGAAAGGGUCCUUCGGGGCCUGAGUAAAGUGGCGCACGGGUGAGUAACACGUGGAUAAUCUACCCUCUGGUGGGGGACAACAACUGGAAACGGUUGCUAAUACCGCAUGAGUCCUGAUGGUCUACGGGCUGUCAGGAGAAAGGCUUCGGUCGCCAGAGGAUGAGUCCGCGUCCCAUCAGCUAGUUGGUGAGGUAAUGGCUCACCAAGGCUCAGACGGGUAGCUGGUCUGAGAGGAUGAUCAGCCACACUGGGACUGAGACACGGCCCAGACUCCUACGGGUGGCUG